Long non-coding RNA from Centruroides sculpturatus (bark scorpion), 359 nucleotides. RefSeq lists it as uncharacterized. The record is from RefSeq and is a predicted model, not a curated record. The transcript is spliced from 3 exons. Lineage: Eukaryota; Metazoa; Arthropoda; Arachnida; Scorpiones; Buthidae.
GGCAACACUGAUUCGUGUUGUUAUGUUUCUAGUUUUAAAUUCUAGUAUUACGAACGUUGGCGUGUGUAGUGUUUAUAUCGUAUUUUGCUAGUUUAAUUUUAUAUGUGAAUAUAAUUAUUCGAAUUUUAAUCAGUUUCGUCACAGAUAAUGUUUUGAAUCAUUUGAAAUUUAUAUUUGUUUACAGUUUAAUAUUUAUAGAUGAUUUAUGCAUGCCUUUGUUUAUUGAAGUAACAUAUAAAGGUGAUUUUACACUUCAAUGUUGAGCAGCUGAAGACGAAUAAUGAAGAGAGAUCUAUUUUAACGUUUUAUUUAUGAGUGUAUAACAUUUUGAAAAAUGUCCGAUACCGAACCAAUUUUUA